CCUGCUUAGACUGCUGCCUCCGCGAUCCGGCCCCGGAUAAGCGGAAGAAAAUGGAAUGGAAUAUUACUUUGGAACAAAGGGUAAUGGAAUGGAAUGGAAAUGGACCAAUCACAAUUUUUCUUCCAGUGGUAUCUGGGUAAAUCAGUGACUUCCCCUGCAGACACUGAACGAAAGAAACACCUGCAUGGAUCUGUUCAAACAGCUGAGUGCGGGGACAUCGCCGGGCGCACGUGUCUGGAUCAUGGAGGUAUCAGAUCAGAUCCAUGGUCUGGAUCGUGGAUCUAUCAUGGAAAUUUUGAUCCAUAGAAUCUAUUAAAAUAACUGGACAUGCAAGAGGAGGCUAAACUCUGUGAAAGUGCUCCUCUCCUCCUCUUCCUCAGUACGGGGUGAAGAGGAUGGGUCCGUGUGCAGUGCGGAUAGGUCCUGGGGCAGGCCUCAGCAGGCUCAGUGGUGCCCCCUGCAGCAGGUGGGGAUGAGCUGCAGGACCUGGAGGACGAAGAGCCAAUUGGUUUGAAGAUGCUGCUGCCGCCAUUGCUGCUGCCACUGCCAGAGGAUUGGGCAUGAGGCCAGGCCCGAGAGGCUUUGGAAGUUCCUUUGUGAAAAUACACAAAAUGAUCAAAGCUUGAUUGAACUCACAGCUGAGAUCUGCUGAGACCCCCAGACUGAGAAUAGAGCUCUGAAGUUCACAGUACACCCUACUGUGUCCUUGUGUGUACCUCUGAGUUGAAGCGGAUUUGGCAGACGUUACAGGAGAUGAUUGGUCGUUUGGUUUUGAGCAGCGGAGGUCCGAAUGUGUGCGUCAUCACAGCCUUCUGCACUGGGUCCAUCUGAGGAGAGACAGCACACAGUCAUCAGCUAAAAAGUAUCUUUUACCUUGAAAAUUACCACUUCAUGACAUCUCAAGGUGGAACAGAGUAUUCUGAGCUUUGGAG
Long non-coding RNA from Boleophthalmus pectinirostris (great blue-spotted mudskipper), 932 nucleotides. RefSeq lists it as uncharacterized. Lineage: Eukaryota; Metazoa; Chordata; Actinopteri; Gobiiformes; Gobiidae. The record is from RefSeq and is a predicted model, not a curated record. The transcript is spliced from 4 exons.